This 505-nucleotide ribosomal RNA is filed under the name uncultured bacterium. Its description in RNAcentral is "partial 16S ribosomal RNA". It matches the Rfam family "Bacterial small subunit ribosomal RNA", at positions 28 to 507 of the family's 1533-position model. The record is from RNAcentral.
GACGAACGCUGGCGGCGUGCCUAAUACAUGCAAGUAGAACGCACAGUUUAUACCGUAGCUUGCUACACCAUAGACUGUGAGUUGCGAACGGGUGAGUCACGCGUAGGUAACCUGCCGGGUAGCGGGGGGUAACUAUUGGAAACGUUAGCUAAUAUCGCAUAAUAUUAAUUAUUGCAUGAAAAUUAAGUGAAAGGUGCAAUUGCACCACUACUAGCUGGUCCUGCGUUGUGUUUGCUAGUUGGUGAGGUAACGGCCCACCUAGGCGGAGAUACAUAGCCGACCUUGGAGGGUGGUCCGCCAACCUGGGACUGGGGCACGGCCCAGACUCCCUCCGGGAGCAGCCAGAGGGGAUCUUCGGCCAUUGACGGAAGUCCGACCGAGCAACGCCGGGUGAGUGAAGGAAGGUUUCGGAUCGGAAAGCUCUGUUUUAAGGGAAGAAAGGGUGUGAGAGUGGAAAGUUCACACUGUGACGGUACCUUAACAGAAAGCGACGGCUAACUACGUG